RNAcentral lists this ribosomal RNA (776 nucleotides) under uncultured Acidobacteriota bacterium. Its description in RNAcentral is "bacterial SSU rRNA". It matches the Rfam family "Bacterial small subunit ribosomal RNA", at positions 8 to 796 of the family's 1533-position model. The record is from RNAcentral. Lineage: Bacteria; Pseudomonadati; Acidobacteriota.
AGAGUUUGAUCCUGGCUCAGAAUCAACGCUGGCGGCGUGCCUCAGACAUGCAAGUCGAACGAUUAAACUUUCCUUCGGGAAAGAUAUAAAGUGGCGCACGGGUGAGUAACACGUAGGUAAUCUGCCUUUGAGUGGGGAAUAACGUUCGGAAACGAACGCUAAUACCGCAUAAUGCAGCGGCACCGCAAGGUGACAGUUGUUAAAGGAGCAAUCCGCUUAAAGAGGAGCCUGCGGCAGAUUAGCUAGUUGGUAGGGUAACGGCUUACCAAGGCGACGAUCUGUAUCCGACCUGAGAGGGUGGUCGGACACACUGACACUGAAUAACGGGUCAGACUCCUACGGGAGGCAGCAGUCGGGAAUUUUGGGCAAUGGGCGAAAGCCUGACCCAGCAACGCCGCGUGAAGGAUGAAGUCUUUCGGGAUGUAAACUUCGUAAGAAUAGGAAGAAUAAAUGACGGUACUAUUUGUAAGGUCCGGCUAACUACGUGCCAGCAGCCGCGGUAAUACGUAGGGACCAAGCGUUGUUCGGAUUUACUGGGCGUAAAGGGCGCGUAGGCGGCGUGACAAGUCACUUGUGAAAUCUCCGGGCUUAACUCGGAACGGUCAAGUGAUACUGUUGUGCUAGAGUGCAGAAGGGGCAAUCGGAAUUCUUGGUGUAGCGGUGAAAUGCGUAGAUAUCAAGAGGAACACCUGAGGUGAAGACGGGUUGCUGGGCUGACACUGACGCUGAGGCGCGAAAGCUAGGGUAGCAAACGGGAUUAGAUACCCCAGUAGUCC